RNAcentral lists this long non-coding RNA (232 nucleotides) under Gossypium barbadense (sea-island cotton). RNAcentral's name for it is "long non-coding RNA (GBAR_LNC008564)". The record is from RNAcentral. Lineage: Eukaryota; Viridiplantae; Streptophyta; Magnoliopsida; Malvales; Malvaceae.
AAUUUGCAACUUAAACAAAUUUACCAUCUAUUAAUGGAACCUCAAGAGGGGUUACCUACUACCUCGGUAAUUCCAAGAGAAGAACCACCAGAACACAUGCACCAGAGCAUGGAUCAGCAAGAGGCAGAGCGACAAACACACCGAAAGAAGUUUCCAAACUAUGCUGAUUUUGUCGUUUAGUACAGGUCAAGCACCAGAAAAACGGUUUGGGAGACUAUAUGAUGACACAGAA